GCUUCUUUUUGUAACUUCAUAGGGGUGUAAAAGCGUUGACCGUGCGCACAUUUUUAGUAUGAAGCGCUUCCGCGCUUCAUACAAAAUGUACUUCGGUCAACGCUUUUACAUCCCUAUGAAGUUACAACUAGAGGC
This 135-nucleotide small RNA is filed under the name Mytilus galloprovincialis (Mediterranean mussel). Lineage: Eukaryota; Metazoa; Mollusca; Bivalvia; Mytilida; Mytilidae. The record is from RNAcentral.